UGGCAAUAGAGGAGCUCAAAGUGUGCCUUCUCGGGGACACUGGCGUAGGGAAAUCAAGCAUUGUGUAUCGAUUUGCCCAGGAUCACUUUGACCGCAACAUAAGCCCUACCAUUGAGGUAUCUUUUGUGACCAAAACUGCGCCUUCUGGAAAUGACCUUCACAAGUUCCUCAUCUGGGACACUGCUGGCCAGGAACGGUUUCAUUCGUUGGCUCAUGUGCUAUGGAGGAUCGGCUGCAGCUGAUACAGUGCAUGAUGUUACCCAAACAGGAUUCAUUUCAUACAGAUGUUACCCAAACAGGAUUCAUUUCAUGCCUUGAAGAAGUGGGAUAAAGAGCUGAAAGAACAUGGUCCAGAAAACAUUGUAAUGACUAUUACUGAAACAAGUGCCAUCUCUCAGAUAUUAGGGAGUUUCCCCUGAAGGAUGCUGAGGAAUAUGCUGAAUCCGUGGGUGCCAUCAUGGUUGAGACGAGGGCAAAAAAUGCUAUUAAUAUCAAGGUAUCAGCCACCAGAUCUCAUCCUUGGACCCCCACAAAAAUGGAAACAGUGGAGCAAUGAAACUUGGGAAGCAAACCAUGCAAGCCAGCCACAGAUGCUGUUGA
Molecule: long non-coding RNA, 600 nt
Filed under: Homo sapiens (human)
Lineage: Eukaryota; Metazoa; Chordata; Mammalia; Primates; Hominidae
Description: non-protein coding lnc-ORC6-4:1
Source: RNAcentral